This 253-nucleotide ribosomal RNA is filed under the name uncultured bacterium. Its description in RNAcentral is "partial 16S ribosomal RNA". It matches the Rfam family "Bacterial small subunit ribosomal RNA", at positions 524 to 776 of the family's 1533-position model. The record is from RNAcentral.
UACGAAGGGGGCUAGCGUUGCUCGGAAUCACUGGGCGUAAAGGGUGCGUAGGCGGGUCUUUAAGUCAGUGGUGAAAGCCUGUAGCUUAACUAUAGAAUUGCCAUUGAAACUGAAGGUCUCGAGUGUGGUUGAGGUAACUGGAAUAUAUCAUGUAGCGGUGAAAUGCUUAGAUAUGAUAUAGAACACCAAUUGCGAAGGCAGGUUACUGAGCCAUUACUGACGCUGAGGCACGAAAGCGUGGGGAUCAAACAGG